CAGGUAUUUGGAUAGUUGUUUUUUGUUUGAGAAGAUUCGCUGGUUCCAUAAUAGUUCAUUUGGCUAAUUUUAUUUUAUUUUUUCUAUACUGGAUGACCUAGACCUAUUUCAAAAAGUGUCUUGACAAUAGGUGGGGAAACUCUUCUCAUAAUAUAUGGUCUGCAUAUGGCAUACAAAGAUUGUGACUGUUCUGUCUCCCUUGUUUUAAUAGAUGGAACACUCCUCACCAAAAUAGAGCGAUAUCUGAAACAAGGAAUUGUAGAUAAGAAUCCAAUUGUUGCAAGUGCAUCCUUAGUUAGCGGCAUUCAUCUGCUUCAGGUCAAAAGUGUACUUAGGUUUCUUUUCAUUUAACUAUCUAAGCUUAUAAACUCAAUUGCUUUGAUAAGAAGUGGCAGAAGUAAUGUUAAAAUAAACAAAAAAAAGUCUCAACAAGAUAUUGUCCGUGCUCUGGC
Molecule: small RNA, 452 nt
Filed under: Vigna angularis var. angularis
Lineage: Eukaryota; Viridiplantae; Streptophyta; Magnoliopsida; Fabales; Fabaceae
Description: Non-protein coding transcript
Source: RNAcentral